This is an unclassified non-coding RNA of Sorex araneus (European shrew), 321 nucleotides long. Its record names the gene 7SK. It matches the Rfam family "7SK RNA". From Rfam's summary of the family: 7SK was discovered as an abundant small nuclear RNA in the mid-70s but a possible function has only recently been suggested. Lineage: Eukaryota; Metazoa; Chordata; Mammalia; Eulipotyphla; Soricidae. The record is from Ensembl.
GGAUGUGAGGGUGAUCUGGCUGCUACAUCUGUCACCCCAUUGAUCGCUAGGGUUGACCCACUGAUCUGGCUGGCUAGGUGGGUGUCCCCUUCCUCCCUUACUGGUCCAUGUGCGUCCCUCCCGAAGCUGUGUGCUUGGUCGAAGAGGACAGCCUUCCCCGAAUAGAGACCUUUGGUCGAGGGUAUACGAGUAGCUGCGCUCCCCUGCUGGAACUCCAAAUUAACAUGGAGAAAUGGUCCAUAAUAUAUUGCCAGUUGGAAAAGUAAAGGAGAUCAUAUGAUAUGGUCUAUAUAGGGACGACUUAUAAAAGAUUAAAUUCCU